AGGAAGUAAUAUUUAUUUAAACCUAAAUAACAAUGGCGGCAUUUCAUCUUAUUAGAGGAACUUGUUAUAUAAUAGAUAAUACGCUAUAAUUUUCACUUUAAAAUAAAGUUUAUAUAUCGCCAUCUUAAGAAUAAAUCUAAUUAUUUAUUCAAAAUAAUAAAUAAAAAGUUAGGUCAAGGUGUAAUUUAAGUUAAAGAAUAAAUGAGUUACUUUAAACUUAAUUUAAAAUUUUAAUUCUAUAGAAUUCUAUAAAUAGGAUUUAAAAGUAUAUUACUAAUAAUACUUGUAAUAGAAUAAGAUUCUAAAUGUGC
RNAcentral lists this ribosomal RNA (311 nucleotides) under Paccius cf. scharffi MR037. RNAcentral's name for it is "partial 12S ribosomal RNA". The record is from RNAcentral. Lineage: Eukaryota; Metazoa; Arthropoda; Arachnida; Araneae; Trachelidae.